GAAAUGCGAUAAGUAAUGUGAAUUGCAGAAUUCAGUGAAUCAUCGAAUCUUUGAACGCACCUUGCGCUCCUUGGUAUUCCUUGGAGCAUGCCUGUUUGAGUAUCAUGAAAUCUUCAAAGUAAGUCUUUUGUUAACUCAAUUGGUUUCUACUUUGGUAUUGGAGGUCUUUGCAGCUCCACACCUGCUCCUCUUUGUUCAUUAGCUGGAUCUCAGUGUUAUGCUUGGUUCCACUCGGCGUGAUAAGUUAUCUAUCGCUGAGGACACUGUAAAAGGUGGCCAAGGUAAAUGCAGAUGAACCGCUUCUAAUAGUCCAUUGACUUGGACAAUACUUUUAUGAUCUGAUCUCAAAUCAGGUAGGACUACCCGCUGAACUUAAGC
Molecule: unclassified non-coding RNA, 378 nt
Filed under: plant metagenome
Description: partial contains 5.8S ribosomal RNA, internal transcribed spacer 2, and large subunit ribosomal RNA
Rfam family: 5.8S ribosomal RNA (bases 1-105)
Source: RNAcentral